Molecule: non-coding RNA, 843 nt
Organism: Xyrichtys novacula (pearly razorfish)
Lineage: Eukaryota; Metazoa; Chordata; Actinopteri; Labriformes; Labridae
Source: the annotation of a GenBank genome assembly
UGUCACUGUAGGAGGUAGGUGUCAAACUGAAUGUUGUUGAUACAUCCGUGGCUAAAGUCACACUGAGUGAUACAUUUGAUGUUAAAAAAGAACAGAGCAAUAAUACAUGAGCAGGAUUGAACCAGCAAUAACUGCCUUGUCCACAGGGGUGUGCUAAUGUGAGUCAGUGCAUUUACAUGCAGAGUUAAGUUUAACUGGACUACUGUCUUUGACCAGGAUUCCCAGACCCUCAACAGCAGGUAUGUUAGUCACUAUGAGAAGCUCGAUUAACGAUUUAGUGCAAUUCCAGUCAUACCAAUGUGUCUUUAAAAGUCCAGUUUCAGUCGGAAAAAGGUAGAUUGUCUUCUACGGGGCGGAGGGGAGGUCCUGCCUCAAGUGGAGUUCAAGUAUCUCGGGAUCUUGUUCAAGAGUGAGGGUAGGAUGGAGCGGGAGAACGACAGGCGGAUCGGAGCGGCGUCAGCAGUGGUGCGGACGCUUAACCGAUUUGUCGUGGUGGAGAAAGAGCUGAGCCGUAAGGCGAGACUCUCGAUUUACCGGUCGAUCUACGUGCCGACCCUCACCUAUGGUCAUGAACUUUGGGUAAUGACCAAAAGAACAAGAUCGCAGAUACAAGUGGCUGAAAUGGGUUUCUUUCGCAGGGUGUCCGGGCUCAGCCUUAGAGAUAGGGUAAGGAGCUCGGACACUCAGGAGGUGCUCAGAGGAGAUGUCUCCUCCACGUCCAGAGGAGUCAGCUGAGGUGGCUCCGGCAUCUGUUAGGAUGCCCUCUGGACGCCUCCUGUUAGAGGUGUUCCAGACAUGUCCCACCAGGAGGAGACCCCGUGGCCGGCCCAGGACCAGGUGGAG